This 392-nucleotide ribosomal RNA is filed under the name uncultured bacterium. Its description in RNAcentral is "partial 16S ribosomal RNA". It matches the Rfam family "Bacterial small subunit ribosomal RNA", at positions 523 to 918 of the family's 1533-position model. The record is from RNAcentral.
AUACGGAGGAUCCGAGCGUUAUCCGGAUUUAUUGGGUUUAAAGGGUGCGCAGGCGGCCAUUUAAGUCAGCGGUUAAAUCGUGGGGCUCAACCCCAUUCUGCCGUUGAUACUGGGUGGCUUGAUUGCGGUCGAGGUUGGCGGAAUUCGUUGUGUAGCGGUGAAAUGCAUAGAUAUGACGAAGAACACCGAUUGCGUAGGCAGCUGACCAGACCGCAAAUGACGCUCAUGCACGAAAGUGCGGGGAUCGAACAGGAUUAGAUACCCUGGUAGUCCGCACAGUAAACGAUGAAUACUUGUUUUCGGCGAUAUAAUGUCGGAGGCAAAGCAAAAGCGAUAAGUAUUCCACCUGGGGAGUACGCCGGCAACGGUGAAACUCAAAGGAAUUGACGGGG